GCCUUCGGGUUGUAAACCUCUUUCAGUAGGGAAGAAGCCUUUCGGGGUGACGGUACCUGCAGAAGAAGCGCCGGCUAACUACGUGCCAGCAGCCGCGGUAAUACGUAGGGCGCAAGCGUUGUCCGGAAUUAUUGGGCGUAAAGAGCUCGUAGGCGGUUUGUCGCGUCUGGUGUGAAAACUCAAGGCUCAACCUUGAGCUUGCAUCGGGUACGGGCAGACUAGAGUGUGGUAGGGGAGGCUGGAAUUCCUGGUGUAGCGGUGGAAUGCGCAGAUAUCAGGAGGAACACCGAUGGCGAAGGCAGGUCUCUGGGCCACUACUGACGCUGAGGAGCGAAAGCAUGGGUAGCGAACAGGAUUAGAUACCCUGGUAGUCCAUGCCGUAAACGUUGGGCACUAGGUGUGGGAUCCAUUCCACGGGUUCUGUGCCGCAGCUAACGCAUUAAGUGCCCCGCCUGGGGAGUACGGCCGCAAGGCUAAAACUCAAAGGAAUUGACGGGGGCCCGCACAAGCGGCGGAGCAUGCGGAUUAAUUCGAUGCAACGCGAAGAACCUUACCAAGGCUUGACAUACACCGGAAGACCCUAGAGAUAGGGUUCUCUUUGGACACUGGUGUACAGGUGGUGCAUGGUUGUCGUCAGCUCGUGUCGUGAGAUGUUGGGUUAAGUCCCGCAACGAGCGCAACCCUUGUCCUAUGUUGCCAGCACGUG
RNAcentral lists this ribosomal RNA (706 nucleotides) under uncultured Ruania sp. RNAcentral's name for it is "bacterial SSU rRNA". It matches the Rfam family "Bacterial small subunit ribosomal RNA", at positions 414 to 1127 of the family's 1533-position model. The record is from RNAcentral. Lineage: Bacteria; Bacillati; Actinomycetota; Actinomycetes; Micrococcales; Ruaniaceae.